CUCUGCGUGGCGGCCGUCGGAAUAAAUUAUUACAAGAGAGAAAUUCUCUUCACUUUUUCAACAUUAUCAACAGUUCAAUACCAAAUGAUGAUUCAAAGCUACUUGUCUGUCGAUGGACUCCUCCGAUCACACCAAUGAUUGAUCCCAUUGGUUUCAUCAAUCAACACAGUUUUGUAAUCUAUUCGAUCAAAAGUAAUUUAUUCCGACGGCCGCCACGCAGAG
This 222-nucleotide unclassified non-coding RNA is filed under the name Hevea brasiliensis (rubber tree). Lineage: Eukaryota; Viridiplantae; Streptophyta; Magnoliopsida; Malpighiales; Euphorbiaceae. The record is from RNAcentral.